Molecule: transfer RNA, 93 nt
Filed under: Heliconius melpomene (postman butterfly)
Lineage: Eukaryota; Metazoa; Arthropoda; Insecta; Lepidoptera; Nymphalidae
Description: tRNA HMEL004659
Rfam family: tRNA
About the family: Transfer RNA (tRNA) molecules are approximately 80 nucleotides in length. Their secondary structure includes four short double-helical elements and three loops (D, anti-codon, and T loops).
Source: RNAcentral
GCAUCGGUGGUUCAGUGGUAGAAUGCUCGCCUGCCACGCAGCACGCACGGCCACGCAGCCGGGGCAGCCCGGGUUCAAUUCCCGGCCGAUGCA